Molecule: ribosomal RNA, 245 nt
Filed under: uncultured Devosia sp.
Lineage: Bacteria; Pseudomonadati; Pseudomonadota; Alphaproteobacteria; Hyphomicrobiales; Devosiaceae
Description: partial 16S ribosomal RNA
Rfam family: Bacterial small subunit ribosomal RNA
Source: RNAcentral
UACGAAGGGGGCUAGCGUUGUUCGGAUUUACUGGGCGUAAAGCGCACGUAGGCGGUUUGUUAAGUGAGAGGUGAAAUCCCAGAGCUCAACUCUGGAACUGCCUUUCAUACUGGCAAGCUAGAGUCCGGAAGAGGUAAGUGGAACUCCUAGUGUAGAGGUGGAAUUCGUAGAUAUUAGGAAGAACACCAGUGGCGAAGGCGGCUUACUGGUCCGGAACUGACGCUGAGGUGCGAAAGCGUGGGGAG